AAAAGACCUGUUCUGUCCCUGAGGCAUCUAAAAUGUGUGAAUGAAUUGCAAUUGUCCCGAGUAACCAUUUAACUUGCAAACAUUGUCAUGGAAAGAAUGCAUAUGGAACAAGUUCAGUUAUAUUUUUGAAAGGUAUUUGUUAGUAUAAAUGAAUAUAUAUAAUGCAAAUAUAUAUGCAGAGGGAGAGAAAUUAUUCAUCCUAAAAUUGUAAUAUGAGCUGUGAUGCAGUGGUUAAAAUACUAACUUUGUACACAUUCUUGAAAGUCUUGGAUUGGUACCCUCAAUUUUGAAUGGUGUUACAAAAUAAACACACAAUGGUUUGUUUUCUGUGUAUGCCCUUGUACAGACUCUGUGUUAUGGGAAAUGCUUAAAAGUUCACAUCAAGUUAAGGUAGAACUGGACAAAAAUAACUUCUUGCUAUUCCAUUUAUACUUGCUAAAAAUUCUUUUCUAAGGGUGUUGCAAAUUAAAAAACUGCCAUUUUUUAAAAAUCUGGUUAGGUUGUGUGUGUCCCUGAUCAUCAAGAAUACAGCUGAGACCCCAUCAUGUCCAUAUUAAAACAUUAGCACUUCAGGAGGUAAUCUCAUGUUUUUAAAAACUGAGUUUCUAAUGGACUUUUUGUGAUUAUGUACAUCUGAUUACUCCUUGCUUAGAAUGUUUCCCACUUAAAACAUCCAGAGCCUGUACUCAUGAAAUGAAACCCAAGAUAAAAUAGGGAGAACCUUCACAUGAAUUUAAUCCGCAUCACUUUUAUUUUUGUUUACAAUUUGCUUAUUUGGAUAUUUUCAAUUAAUUAUAAGCAUAUUUUUAUACAAUUUUAAUCUUUAGAAAUAACUAUUUUUUUUAAUGGAGAAAUUUAGAAUAUAUUCUAUGUGGACCUCAGCACAAGCAGAUAUGCUGGGAUUGCACAUCCACCUCUACACAAAUGGUUUGCUGGUUCCACAGAGAAGGCUCCUGAAUAACUGGGUGUUAAGAUGUCAUCUCUUAUAUUUCUGCUGGGCCACCAUCUCCAGGGUGCUGAGGGUCUGCAAUGAGCACAGGGCUGCCUUCAGGAGGUCACUGUGCAAGUAUUGCUGACUUGUGGAGAUGGUUUAUAAAUCUCUGGCGUGCUCUGGAGUUCAGUCUUUACUACUGUGGCAGAAUAGAACUUGCAGAACUAGCAGUGAUUAAUUAGAUUAGAUGGAGCAAAAUGACAGCUUGACAUGGAAGGGACUGCAAGGCAAUGCCUGGAGAGCAAAAAGGAUGGGAGGAAAACUUGGAUCCAGUUAUUUCACAGGCACCAAGAGAGCAUUUGUAACUCUGCUUUAUUUCCUGACUUAAGGCAGGUAUUCAGUAUAUAGUUAACUCAGUAUCUUUCUGAACAGCUGUGUAGUUCUGCUUUUACUUAGCAGCAUGGAGAACAUUAUAGUUUGGCAUGGGAAUUAGAUUAGUGCAGAGAAGCCCACUGUGAGAAGAUGUCUGUACCUUUCUGAGAUGGUGUUUUGGGGCUGGCAUUGUGGCACUUUGUCUGUGCUACAAUGCUGAACCCACAUCGUAGCCACUAAUUUAUCAAAUUGUUUUUCUUUAUGUAGUGUUUGAGUGAAAGCAGCUGCCAGGCCUAAGGCAGAUGCAAAUGAAUGGUGUGUGCUCUGCAAGUCACUGGCUGUUAAUGUGAAAAGUGUUCAGGCACAACAAUUUACAAACGUGAAUGCCUAAAGACAAGGUUCUUGAUUCACAGUUGAGUCAGAAAUCUGAUUUUCAGUUCCAACAUCUGCUUUUCCUCUUGAAGGUGAUGCAUUCUACUAGGACCCACCUCAGACUCCUCAGAACCUUUGUGUUUGGGCAUUUAGUAUGUGGAUUUAGGUACCUACCUUUAGCUUAGGUUGCUACUGCAGUGUCUUUUUUUAUCUCUUUGCCAUUGCAAGUUUUGGCAAGCAUUCUGUUUCUCAAAAGAGACCUAAAGGUAAAUGCAACUUUGUGCUGAUUCUUGGGGUGUUUUUAGCCACAAAAAAGAUGCAAAUCUGUGUCCUGAGUAUACGUAUGACAAAUUAAUAAUUUUGUAUGUUGUGCUUGUAUCAUGUUACCAUUAUUUCAGUUGUUUGACUAUAUCUCACUGGCAGAAUGAUUCUCUCCCACAACAAAUCCAUUUUUUUCUUCCAAAUAUAUAUGAAUAAAUAUAUAUAUAGCAAACUUGCAAGCAGGGCUAGUUAUUUGUAUUUUUUAAGCUUAAAGUAUACCGUCCGGUGCUGACAGAUACCCAGCACCUCUUCUGGAUUCCUUGCACAACUUCGUUUAGCUUUUGUAAAUUUUAAAAAUAAAUAUAGAGAGACCUAUGUGUUUGAAAUAUAAAUGAUAUAUAUGGAUUAGCAUGUAACUGUAUAUUAUUAAACAUGCAAUGAACUGACUGGUAAGUGAAGUCUAAUCUUAUGGCUAGCAAUGUAAUUUAUUCAGACUGUAUUUUUGUACAGCGCAGUGCACACUAACCUAUUGCCUCUGUGUCCUCUAUAAUGCCUAAAACUGUGCCUAGAAAUUUCAUUUAUGUCUUUCAAAGAAAAGAAAAAAGAUGAUUAAAUGCUUCAUGUUGUUGAUAGUAUUGGUUUUUCUGAUGUUGUUCUUUAUUUAUUUUUGAGAAGUGUACGGUAUGUUUAUUAAAUGAAUCCAUCAAAAUAGGGUUUGUUUUAAAUGGUUUUUGUUAGCAGGGAAAGACUGUUUUUUUUUUAUCUAAACUUUUAAGUUUGCAGUUUUAAUACAUUUCUGCAUUUCACGAUUUUUGUAGCUUACAUAAAGUUUUAUGUGAAAAAGUAACUGAAAUAAAAAAAA
Molecule: long non-coding RNA, 2798 nt
Filed under: Taeniopygia guttata (zebra finch)
Lineage: Eukaryota; Metazoa; Chordata; Aves; Passeriformes; Estrildidae
Description: lncRNA (ENSTGUG00000027296.1)
Source: RNAcentral